AWUGGUCGGGAUAGCUCAGUGUAGAGCAGAGACUGAAUCUCUGCGUGGGGGGGGGGGUUGGGUGUCGAUCCGACGAGCUAGAGAGGUGU
This 89-nucleotide transfer RNA is filed under the name Persicaria strigosa. RNAcentral's name for it is "partial tRNA-Phe". The record is from RNAcentral. Lineage: Eukaryota; Viridiplantae; Streptophyta; Magnoliopsida; Caryophyllales; Polygonaceae.